CAUGCAAGUCGAGCGAUGAAGCACCUUCGGGUGUGAAUUAGCGGCGAACGGGUGAGGAACACGUGAGAAAUCUGCCUUCAACACUGGGAUAACUCCGGGAAACCGGGGCUAAUACCGGAUAUGAAACCUGCGGGCAUCCGCGGGUUUGGAAAGUUUUUCGGUUGAAGAUGAUCUCGCGGCCUAUCAGCUUGUUGGUGAGGUAAUGGCUCACCAAGGCGACGACGGGUAGCCGGCCUGAGAGGGCGACCGGCCACACUGGGACUGAGACACGGCCCAGACUCCUACGGGAGGCAGCAGUGGGGAAUAUUGGGCAAUGGAGGAAACUCUGACCCAGCGACGCCGCGUGCGGGAUGAAGGCCUUCGGGUUGUAAACCGCUUUCAGCAGGGAAGAAGCGAAAGUGACGGUACCUGCAGAAGAAGCACCGGCUAACUAUGUGCCAGCAGCCGCGGUAAUACAUAGGGUGCAAGCGUUGUCCGGAAUUAUUGGGCGUAAAGAGCUCGUAGGUGGUUCGUCACGUCGGAUGUGAAACUCUGGGGCUUAACCCCAGACCUGCAUUCGAUACGGGCGAGCUUGAGUAUGGUAGGGGAGUCUGGAAUUCCUGGUGUAGCGGUGGAAUGCGCAGAUAUCAGGAGGAACACCAAUGGCGAAGGCAGGACUCUGGGCCAUUACUGACACUGAGGAGCGAAAGCGUGGGGAGCGAACAGGAUUAGAUACCCUGGUAGUCCACGCCGUAAACGGUGGGCACUAGUUGUGGGGACCUUCCACGGUCUCUGCGACGCAGCUAACGCAUUAAGUGCCCCGCCUGGGGAGUACGAUCGCAAGAUUAAAACUCAAAGGAAUUGACGGGGCCCCGCACAAGCAGCGGAGCAUGCGGCUUAAUUCGACGCAACGCG
This 894-nucleotide ribosomal RNA is filed under the name uncultured Actinomycetes bacterium. RNAcentral describes it as "bacterial SSU rRNA". It matches the Rfam family "Bacterial small subunit ribosomal RNA", at positions 54 to 963 of the family's 1533-position model. The record is from RNAcentral. Lineage: Bacteria; Bacillati; Actinomycetota; Actinomycetes.